This 71-nucleotide transfer RNA is filed under the name Polysticta stelleri (Steller's eider). Its description in RNAcentral is "tRNA-Tyr". It matches the Rfam family "tRNA". From Rfam's summary of the family: Transfer RNA (tRNA) molecules are approximately 80 nucleotides in length. Their secondary structure includes four short double-helical elements and three loops (D, anti-codon, and T loops). Further hydrogen bonds mediate the characteristic L-shaped molecular structure. tRNAs have two regions of fundamental functional importance: the anti-codon, which is responsible for specific mRNA codon recognition, and the 3' end, to which the tRNAs corresponding amino acid is attached (by aminoacyl-tRNA synthetases). tRNAs cope with the degeneracy of the genetic code in two manners: having more than one tRNA (with a specific anti-codon) for a particular amino acid; and 'wobble' base-pairing, i.e. permitting non-standard base-pairing at the 3rd anti-codon position. The record is from RNAcentral. Lineage: Eukaryota; Metazoa; Chordata; Aves; Anseriformes; Anatidae.
GGUAAGAUGGCUGAGUGUCAAGGCGUUAGGUUGUAGCCCUUUUUACAGAGGUUCAAUUCCUCUUCUUAUCG